RNAcentral lists this long non-coding RNA (387 nucleotides) under Glycine max (soybean). Its description in RNAcentral is "long non-coding RNA (GMAX_LNC003215)". Lineage: Eukaryota; Viridiplantae; Streptophyta; Magnoliopsida; Fabales; Fabaceae. The record is from RNAcentral.
CCCCCCUAAACAUCAAGGAACACCCUUCUAGAAAAUGAAAAGGCUAGCUUUGGUGCUAACCUAGUCAUAAUUAAUCAGUUCCUCAUCAUCCUUAGUGCCAGUUCUUACAGCUCCCCCAAGUCAUUGUUGUUGUAUGGUCUUUCUUUAGCUUGGAUUUGGAAAUCCUCUCUGCUUUGUAUAUCUUGCAUGCUCAUUCCAUCAUUGAUGCUGAUGUGAUCAAUUGAUUCAAGUGAGCUUUGAGGAGAUAUAGGAUUCAUGUAAGUGGGACAAAAUGGAUGAUUCAUUAGUUGUCCUGUAACAUUGUUAUUAUUCCCUUGCAAAUGAUGAUUAUUCUCUAUGUUCCUGGACUCCACUAGGUUCUGAGUCAGCUGAGCUUUUACCUGCAUC